RNAcentral lists this ribosomal RNA (259 nucleotides) under uncultured bacterium. RNAcentral describes it as "partial 16S ribosomal RNA". It matches the Rfam family "Bacterial small subunit ribosomal RNA", at positions 72 to 334 of the family's 1533-position model. The record is from RNAcentral.
CUUGCUUUCUUUUGCUGGCGACCGGCGCACGGGUGAGUAACACGUAUCCAACCUGCCCUUUACUCGGGGAUAGCCUUUCGAAAGAAAGAUUAAUACCCGAUAGCAUAAUGAUUCCGCAUGGUUUCAUUAUUAAAGGAUUCCGGUAAAGGAUGGGGAUGCGUUCCAUUAGGUUGUUGGUGGGGUAACGGCCCACCAAGCCUUCGAUGGAUAGGGGUUCUGAGAGGAAGGUCCCCCACAUUGGAACUGAGACACGGUCCAA